AAUGAACGCUGGCGGCAGGCCUAACACAUGCAAGUCGAACGGAUCCUUCGGGAUUAGUGGCGGACGGGUGAGUAACGCGUGGGAACAUACCCUUUGGUACGGAAUAGCCUCGGGAAACUGGGAGUAAUACCGUAUGUGGUCGAGAGACGAAAGAUUUAUCGCCAAAGGAUUGGCCCGCGUUGGAUUAGGUAGUUGGUGGGGUAAUGGCCUACCGAGCCGACGAGCCAUAGCUGGUUUGAGAGGAUGAUCAGCCACACUGGGACUGAGACACAGCCCAGACUACUACGGGAGGCAGCAGUGGGGAAUCUUAGGCGAUGGGGGAAGCCCUGAUCUAGCCAUGCCGCGUGAUCGAUGAAGGCCUUAGGGUUGUAAAGAUCUGUCAGGUGGGAAGAUAAUGACUGUACCACCAGAAGAAGCCCCGGCUAACUCCGUGCCAGCCGCCGCCGUAA
RNAcentral lists this ribosomal RNA (449 nucleotides) under uncultured bacterium. RNAcentral's name for it is "partial 16S ribosomal RNA". It matches the Rfam family "Bacterial small subunit ribosomal RNA", at positions 29 to 523 of the family's 1533-position model. The record is from RNAcentral.